AACUUCUGAAUGUUGACCUCGAAUCAGGUAGGAAUACCCGCUGAACUUAAGCAUAUCAAUAAGCGGAGGAAAAGAAACCAACAGGGAUUGCCCCAGUAACGGCGAGUGAAGCGGCAACAGCUCAAAUUUGAAAUCUGGCUCUCGGGCCCGAGUUGUAAUUUGUAGAGGAUGCUUUUGGUGAGGUGCCUUCCGAGUUCCCUGGAACGGGACGCCAUAGAGGGUGAGAGCCCCGUCUGGUUGGACACCGAUCCUCUGUAAAGCUCCUUCGACGAGUCGAGUAGUUUGGGAAUGCUGCUCUAAAUGGGAGGUAUAUGUCUUCUAAAGCUAAAUACCGGCCAGAGACCGAUAGCGCACAAGUAGAGUGAUCGAAAGAUGAAAAGAACUUUGAAAAGAGAGUUAAACAGUACGUGAAAUUGUUGAAAGGGAAGCGCUUGUGACCAGACUUGGGCUUGGUUGAUCAUCCGGGGUUCUCCCCGGUGCACUCUUCCGGCCCAGGCCAGCAUCAGUUCGCCCUGGGGGACAAAGGCUUCGGGAAUGUGGCUCUCUCCGGGGAGUGUUAUAGCCCGUUGCGUAAUACCCUGUGGCGGACUGA
This 592-nucleotide ribosomal RNA is filed under the name Fusarium keratoplasticum. RNAcentral's name for it is "eukaryotic LSU rRNA". It matches the Rfam family "Eukaryotic large subunit ribosomal RNA", at positions 1 to 591 of the family's 3401-position model. The record is from RNAcentral. Lineage: Eukaryota; Fungi; Ascomycota; Sordariomycetes; Hypocreales; Nectriaceae.